Molecule: ribosomal RNA, 363 nt
Filed under: uncultured bacterium
Lineage: Bacteria
Description: bacterial SSU rRNA
Rfam family: Bacterial small subunit ribosomal RNA
Source: RNAcentral
UGGGGAAUCUUGGACAAUGGGCGCAAGCCUGAUCCAGCCAUGCCGCGUGAGUGAAGAAGGCCUUCGGGUUGUAAAGCUCUUUUACCAGGGACGAUAAUGACGGUACCUGGAGAAUAAGCCCCGGCAAACUUCGUGCCAGCAGCCGCGGUAAUACGAAGGGGGCUAGCGUUGUUCGGAAUUACUGGGCGUAAAGCGCACGUAGGUGGAUAGUUAAGUUCGGGGUGAAAUCCCAGGGCUCAACCCUGGAACUGCCUCGGAUACUGGCUAUCUCGAGUCCGGAAGAGGUGAGUGGAAUUCCUAGUGUAGAGGUGAAAUUCGUAGAUAUUAGGAAGAACACCGGUGGCGAAGGCGGCUCACUGGUCC